This 497-nucleotide ribosomal RNA is filed under the name uncultured bacterium. RNAcentral's name for it is "partial 16S ribosomal RNA". It matches the Rfam family "Bacterial small subunit ribosomal RNA", at positions 28 to 507 of the family's 1533-position model. The record is from RNAcentral.
GAUGAACGCUGACGGCGUGCCUAAUACAUGCAAGUCGAGCGAACGGACGAGAAGCUUGCUUCUCUGAUGUUAGCGGCGGACGGGUGAGUAACACGUGGAUAACCUACCUAUAAGACUGGGAUAACUUCGGGAAACCGGAGCUAAUACCGGAUAAUAUUUUGAACCGCAUGGUUCAAAAGUGAAAGAAGGUCUUGCUGUCACUUAUAGAUGGAUCCGCGCUGCAUUAGCUAGUUGGUAAGGUAACGGCUUACCAAGGCAACGAUGCAUAGCCGACCUGAGAGGGUGAUCGGCCACCCUGGAACUGAGACACGGUCCAGACUCCUACGGGAGGCAGCAGUAGGGAAUCUUCCGCAAUGGGCGAAAGCCUGACGGAGCAACGCCGCGUGAGUGAUGAAGGUCUUCGGAUCGUAAAACUCUGUUAUUAGGGAAGAACAUAUGUGUAAGUAACUGUGCACAUCUUGACGGUACCUAAUCAGAAAGCCACGGCUAACUACGUG